Molecule: ribosomal RNA, 2933 nt
Filed under: Escherichia coli
Lineage: Bacteria; Pseudomonadati; Pseudomonadota; Gammaproteobacteria; Enterobacterales; Enterobacteriaceae
Description: bacterial LSU rRNA
Rfam family: Bacterial large subunit ribosomal RNA
Source: RNAcentral
GGGUUGUGAGGUUAAGCGACUAAGCGUACACGGUGGAUGCCCUGGCAGUCAGAGGCGAUGAAGGACGUGCUAAUCUGCGAUAAGCGUCGGUAAGGUGAUAUGAACCGUUAUAACCGGCGAUUUCCGAAUGGGGAAACCCAGUGUGAUUCGUCACACUAUCAUUAACUGAAUCCAUAGGUUAAUGAGGCGAACCGGGGGAACUGAAACAUCUAAGUACCCCGAGGAAAAGAAAUCAACCGAGAUUCCCCCAGUAGCGGCGAGCGAACGGGGAGCAGCCCAGAGCCUGAAUCAGUGUGUGUGUUAGUGGAAGCGUCUGGAAAGGCGCGCGAUACAGGGUGACAGCCCCGUACACAAAAAUGCACAUGCUGUGAGCUCGAUGAGUAGGGCGGGACACGUGGUAUCCUGUCUGAAUAUGGGGGGACCAUCCUCCAAGGCUAAAUACUCCUGACUGACCGAUAGUGAACCAGUACCGUGAGGGAAAGGCGAAAAGAACCCCGGCGAGGGGAGUGAAAAAGAACCUGAAACCGUGUACGUACAAGCAGUGGGAGCACAGAGCAAUCUGUGUGACUGCGUACCUUUUGUAUAAUGGGUCAGCGACUUAUAUUCUGUAGCAAGGUUAACCGAAUAGGGGAGCCGAAGGGAAACCGAGUCUUAACUGGGCGUUAAGUUGCAGGGUAUAGACCCGAAACCCGGUGAUCUAGCCAUGGGCAGGUUGAAGGUUGGGUAACACUAACUGGAGGACCGAACCGACUAAUGUUGAAAAAUUAGCGGAUGACUUGUGGCUGGGGGUGAAAGGCCAAUCAAACCGGGAGAUAGCUGGUUCUCCCCGAAAGCUAUUUAGGUAGCGCCUCGUGAAUUCAUCUCCGGGGGUAGAGCACUGUUUCGGCAAGGGGGUCAUCCCGACUUACCAACCCGAUGCAAACUGCGAAUACCGGAGAAUGUUAUCACGGGAGACACACGGCGGGUGCUAACGUCCGUCGUGAAGAGGGAAACAACCCAGACCGCCAGCUAAGGUCCCAAAGUCAUGGUUAAGUGGGAAACGAUGUGGGAAGGCCCAGACAGCCAGGAUGUUGGCUUAGAAGCAGCCAUCAUUUAAAGAAAGCGUAAUAGCUCACUGGUCGAGUCGGCCUGCGCGGAAGAUGUAACGGGGCUAAACCAUGCACCGAAGCUGCGGCAGCGACGCUUAUGCGUUGUUGGGUAGGGGAGCGUUCUGUAAGCCUGCGAAGGUGUGCUGUGAGGCAUGCUGGAGGUAUCAGAAGUGCGAAUGCUGACAUAAGUAACGAUAAAGCGGGUGAAAAGCCCGCUCGCCGGAAGACCAAGGGUUCCUGUCCAACGUUAAUCGGGGCAGGGUGAGUCGACCCCUAAGGCGAGGCCGAAAGGCGUAGUCGAUGGGAAACAGGUUAAUAUUCCUGUACUUGGUGUUACUGCGAAGGGGGGACGGAGAAGGCUAUGUUGGCCGGGCGACGGUUGUCCCGGUUUAAGCGUGUAGGCUGGUUUUCCAGGCAAAUCCGGAAAAUCAAGGCUGAGGCGUGAUGACGAGGCACUACGGUGCUGAAGCAACAAAUGCCCUGCUUCCAGGAAAAGCCUCUAAGCAUCAGGUAACAUCAAAUCGUACCCCAAACCGACACAGGUGGUCAGGUAGAGAAUACCAAGGCGCUUGAGAGAACUCGGGUGAAGGAACUAGGCAAAAUGGUGCCGUAACUUCGGGAGAAGGCACGCUGAUAUGUAGGUGAAGUCCCUCGCGGAUGGAGCUGAAAUCAGUCGAAGAUACCAGCUGGCUGCAACUGUUUAUUAAAAACACAGCACUGUGCAAACACGAAAGUGGACGUAUACGGUGUGACGCCUGCCCGGUGCCGGAAGGUUAAUUGAUGGGGUUAGCGCAAGCGAAGCUCUUGAUCGAAGCCCCGGUAAACGGCGGCCGUAACUAUAACGGUCCUAAGGUAGCGAAAUUCCUUGUCGGGUAAGUUCCGACCUGCACGAAUGGCGUAAUGAUGGCCAGGCUGUCUCCACCCGAGACUCAGUGAAAUUGAACUCGCUGUGAAGAUGCAGUGUACCCGCGGCAAGACGGAAAGACCCCGUGAACCUUUACUAUAGCUUGACACUGAACAUUGAGCCUUGAUGUGUAGGAUAGGUGGGAGGCUUUGAAGUGUGGACGCCAGUCUGCAUGGAGCCGACCUUGAAAUACCACCCUUUAAUGUUUGAUGUUCUAACGUGGACCCGUAAUCCGGGUUGCGGACAGUGUCUGGUGGGUAGUUUGACUGGGGCGGUCUCCUCCUAAAGAGUAACGGAGGAGCACGAAGGUUGGCUAAUCCUGGUCGGACAUCAGGAGGUUAGUGCAAUGGCAUAAGCCAGCUUGACUGCGAGCGUGACGGCGCGAGCAGGUGCGAAAGCAGGUCAUAGUGAUCCGGUGGUUCUGAAUGGAAGGGCCAUCGCUCAACGGAUAAAAGGUACUCCGGGGAUAACAGGCUGAUACCGCCCAAGAGUUCAUAUCGACGGCGGUGUUUGGCACCUCGAUGUCGGCUCAUCACAUCCUGGGGCUGAAGUAGGUCCCAAGGGUAUGGCUGUUCGCCAUUUAAAGUGGUACGCGAGCUGGGUUUAGAACGUCGUGAGACAGUUCGGUCCCUAUCUGCCGUGGGCGCUGGAGAACUGAGGGGGGCUGCUCCUAGUACGAGAGGACCGGAGUGGACGCAUCACUGGUGUUCGGGUUGUCAUGCCAAUGGCACUGCCCGGUAGCUAAAUGCGGAAGAGAUAAGUGCUGAAAGCAUCUAAGCACGAAACUUGCCCCGAGAUGAGUUCUCCCUGACCCUUUAAGGGUCCUGAAGGAACGUUGAAGACGACGACGUUGAUAGGCCGGGUGUGUAAGCGCAGCGAUGCGUUGAGCUAACCGGUACUAAUGAACCGUGAGGCUUAACCUUACAACGCCGAAGGUGUUU